This 410-nucleotide ribosomal RNA is filed under the name uncultured microorganism. RNAcentral describes it as "bacterial SSU rRNA". It matches the Rfam family "Bacterial small subunit ribosomal RNA", at positions 509 to 917 of the family's 1533-position model. The record is from RNAcentral.
CAGCCGCCGCGGUAAUACGUAGGGUGCGAGCGUUAAUCGGAUUUACUGGGCGUAAAGCGUGCGCAGGCGGCCCGUUAAGACAGGUGUGAAAUCCCUGGGCUCAACCUAGGAAUUGCGCUUGUGACUGGCGGGCUCGAGUACGGUAGAGGGGGGUGGAAUUCCUGGUGUAGCAGUGAAAUGCGUAGAGAUCAGGAGGAACACCGAUGGCGAAGGCAGCCCCCUGGGCCGGUACUGACGCUCAUGCACGAAAGCGUGGGGAGCAAACAGGAUUCGACACCCUGGUAGUCCACGCCCUAAACGAUGGGUACUAGCCGUUUGGUGCGCGAUAGCGCUGAGUGGCGAAGCUAACGCGUGAAGUACCCCGCCUGGGGAGUACGGCCGCAAGGUUGAAACUUAAAGGAAUUGGCGGG